GAUGAACGCUGGCGGCGUGCCUAAUACAUGCAAGUCGAGCGAACGGACGAGAAGCUUGCUUCUCUGAUGUUAGCGGCGGACGGGUGAGUAACACGUGGAUAACCUACCUAUAAUACUGGGAUAACUUCGGGAAACCGUAGAUAAUACCGGAUAAUAUUUUGAACCGCAUGGUUCAAAAGUGAAAGACGGUCUUGCUGUCACUUAUAGAUGGAUCCGCGCUGCAUUAGCUAGUUGGUAAGGUAACGGCUUACCAAGGCAACGAUGCAUAGCCGACCUGAGAGGGUGAUCGGCCACACUGGAACUGAGACACGGUCCAGACUCCUACGGGAGGCAGCAGUAGGGAAUCUUCCGCAAUGGGCGAAAGCCUGACGGAGCAACGCCGCGUGAGUGAUGAAGGUCUUCGGAUCGUAAAACUCUGUUAUUAGGGAAGAACAUAUGUGUAAGUAACUGUGCACAUCUUGACGGUACCCAAUCAGAAAGCCACGGCUAACUACGUG
Molecule: ribosomal RNA, 497 nt
Filed under: uncultured bacterium
Lineage: Bacteria
Description: partial 16S ribosomal RNA
Rfam family: Bacterial small subunit ribosomal RNA
Source: RNAcentral